GUGUCACAGCCGCGGUAAUACGGAGGGUGCGAGCGUUAAUCGGAAUUACUGGGCGUAAAGCGCAUGCAGGUGGUUUGUUAAGUCAGAUGUGAAAGCCCGGGGCUCAACCUCGGAAUAGCAUUUGAAACUGGCAGACUAGAGUACUGUAGAGGGGGGUAGAAUUUCAGGUGUAGCGGUGAAAUGCGUAGAGAUCUGAAGGAAUACCGGUGGCGAAGGCGGCCCCCUGGACAGAUACUGACACUCAGAUGCGAAAGCGUGGGGAGCAAACAGGAUUAGAUACCCCAGUAGUCC
RNAcentral lists this ribosomal RNA (291 nucleotides) under uncultured prokaryote. RNAcentral's name for it is "partial 16S ribosomal RNA". It matches the Rfam family "Bacterial small subunit ribosomal RNA", at positions 505 to 796 of the family's 1533-position model. The record is from RNAcentral.